This 460-nucleotide ribosomal RNA is filed under the name uncultured bacterium. RNAcentral describes it as "partial 16S ribosomal RNA". It matches the Rfam family "Bacterial small subunit ribosomal RNA", at positions 338 to 795 of the family's 1533-position model. The record is from RNAcentral.
CCUACGGGUGGCAGCAGUGAGGAAUAUUGGUCAAUGGGCGAGAGCCUGAACCAGCCAAGUCGCGUGAAGGAUGAAGGAUCUAUGGUUUGUACACUUCUUUUAUAUGGGAAUAAAGUGAGGAACGUGUUACUUUUUGUAUGUACCAUAUGAAUAAGCAUCGGCUAACUCCGUGACAGCCGCCGCGGUAAUACGGAGGAUGCGUGCGUUAUCCGGAUUUAUUGGGUUUAAAGGGUGCGUAGGUGGGUAGUUAAGUCAGCGGUGAAAGUUUGGGGCUCAACCAUAAAAUGGCCGUUGAAACUGGUUGACUUUAGUAUAGUUGAGGUAGGCGGAAUGCGUGGUGUAGCGGUGAAAUGCAUAGAUAUCACGCAGAACUCCGAUUGCGAAGGCAGCUUACUAAACUAUAACUGACACUGAAGCACGAAAGCGUGGGGAUCAAACAGGAUUAGAUACCCGAGUAGUC